GUUAUUAUUAUUACGAUAAACAAUUGCCUAUAUCCUUACAAUUGUAAGAUCCACAAAAGUAGGAGAUUCACACGUUUCCUUAUUCUCUUUUACACCUGUGUGUAUGAUUGUUUACUUGAGUAGUUCUGAAAUGUUGAAAUUUUGAAGAAAAGUCUCAGAAAAAUGUUUGAGAAAUGGAAUAAGGAAUAAAAAUUGUUGCGCGUAGAAGAUGUAAAGGAAAAGUCUUCUUACACUAGAAAAACAGCUCGAGCGUAGUUAUUAAAAUGAGCGAAUAUAUGAAAAGAGUAGUUAAGCAUAGUGAAGAGUAGAGUAUUCCAUAGACAAGACUGCAAACAAUGAGGGAUGAAAACAAUUUGACAUAAAACAAAUAACAUUAAACACAACUGUUCUAAUUGAAUUGAGUAGCAACGAGCCAAACAAAUUCAAAGGACCCUGAGGUAUGAUUAAUUAGGAUUUUUGUAACAAAUAUUAUUGAGAAUUUCAUUCUCAUCAAUAAAAUAUUAAACUUCAGUGCCAUUUCCUGUAAAUUUGUAUACACUCUUACAAUACCCAAACAAUAACGCAAAAUAAAGGGAAAAUAACAUGUUAAGCUUUAAAUAAAAACUAGAUAAUGGCCGAAAACACCGAACAAAGAAUAUUUAUACACAGCCAUGAAUAAGAUUUGAAUACAAUGGUCAAUUUAAUCAUUUUAAUGAGUUCAGGCGUCAAGCGGAAAAAGGUUUAAACAUAUGCAGUGUGUGAAGAACCAGACGACAAGCUGCGACUUGCCGUUUGGAUUGAAACGUUACACGUGAACAACUAUAAAUUAAGGAUCCUCAAAACAGUAUAUUUAGAUUUCACAUCUUUGACGCUUUCAGAGAGCUAUAAAUAUCCCAUGGUCAUGGUUCAGAAAUGAAUACAUUAAAUAAAUAUCAACCAACCAUAAUGGCACCAACAAAUGGAAUCAUAGAGUUAAAGAGGAAGAAAACUGGAAGAUUCACAUAAAUAGAAAGAUACAUUCAAAUCGUGUCUUAAUACUGCGGAGAACUCUCGUCCUCGACCUCCUGAAUGACUGAAUCUUGUUCGAGGCGUUGUCUUUGUAUCUUCAAUUCGGUUUUUUUCUAGAAUAAAAACAAAAUUGUUUAUUAUGCAAAAUAAAAAUAGAACUCAUGAUAA
Dalotia coriaria is the source of this 1155-nucleotide long non-coding RNA. RefSeq lists it as uncharacterized. The transcript has 2 exons. The record is from RefSeq and is a predicted model, not a curated record. Lineage: Eukaryota; Metazoa; Arthropoda; Insecta; Coleoptera; Staphylinidae.